This 502-nucleotide ribosomal RNA is filed under the name uncultured bacterium. Its description in RNAcentral is "partial 16S ribosomal RNA". It matches the Rfam family "Bacterial small subunit ribosomal RNA", at positions 29 to 523 of the family's 1533-position model. The record is from RNAcentral.
AUUGAACGCUGGCGGCACGCCUAACACAUGCAAGUCGAGCGGCAACAUGCCCUGUAGCAAUACAGGGUGAUGGCAAGCGGCGGACGGGCGAGGAACACGUAGGAAUCUGCCUUUCAGAGGGGGACAACCAAGGGAAACUUUGGCUAAUACCGCAUAAUCUCUGAGGAGCAAAGCUGCCGCAAGGUGGCGCUGAAAGAGGAGCCUGCGUCGGAUUAGCUAGUUGGUGGGGUAAAAGCCUACCAAGGCAAUGAUCGGUAACUGGUCUGAGAGGACGAACAGUCACACUGGGACUGAGACAAGGCCCAGACCCCGACGGGAGGCAGCAGUGGGGAAUCUUGGACAAUGGGGGAAACCCUGAUCCAGCGAUGCCGCGUGAGUGAAGAAGGCCCUCGGGUCGUAAAGCUCUUUAGGUUGGAAAGAAGGGUGUUGGUGGAUAAUACCAGCACUUUGACGGUACCAACAGAAUAAGCACCGGCAAACUCUGUGCCAGCCGCCGCCGUAA